Gorilla gorilla gorilla (western lowland gorilla) is the source of this 2061-nucleotide long non-coding RNA. RefSeq lists it as uncharacterized. The transcript is spliced from 3 exons. The record is from RefSeq and is a predicted model, not a curated record. Lineage: Eukaryota; Metazoa; Chordata; Mammalia; Primates; Hominidae.
UGGUUGCAAAACUCAGCUUUGCCCCUGCACAGAGUUUCCCUUCCCGGGGCCCGCUGGGGAGGCAUCCGCGGCUUGUGGUGGCUGUGGUUUGGUGCCCAGGACCCACACGUAAAAGGAGCUCAUUCGGAGGCAGGGGCACGCGCUUGUCCCCAGAACUGAAACCCCAGAGUCCCUCCGGCAGAUGAGAGUGGAGGCUGUAAAUCACCCUCCAUGCAAUGGCUCAUCAUAAAGGAUAUGGAGCAAAAUUGGAGGAGGCACGAGAAGGAAAGCCGGUGAUGAACAAGGAUUUGCCUCAACUACAGAGACAGCAUGGAACACGCCCUCCUAGGCUGCCCACAUCCUCAUCUGCAUGGGGGCACAGAAGCCUGGCCAUUCAUCCCACGGGAGACUCAGGACAUGCUCCCAGCAACCUGAUGGGCUGCCCAAGGCUUGGCUGAUCCUGCAUCCCUGCAUCACAUCUCAGCUUCUCCCUCUGCCCAAAUCUACUUCCUCCCCAUUCCUUUCAUAGGCAUUGAUUCCCUGAUAAACACCUUGCACCCCAUAUUCCAUCUCAGAGUCUCCUUGCAGAGAACCCAACCUGUGGCAGAGCUGGUCUCAGGACUCAGAGCGAGGGAGCAGGGAAAGAGGACAGGAAAGCAGGGAGAGUCAAUUUAAGGGUAUGUUGUCUGAGACAAAGAUUCUGCUAGGACCUCUGAGAUGGGUACAAGAUGCCUGGAGCCAUUCACUGGGCAGUAUCUGUCCAUCAGCUCCCAGGCCCCACAGAACCGGAGCUGCCUGUGAGGGCUUUCACUGCCCUGCAUUUCUGGGCUUCACAUAUGCACUGGCUGAGAGGGCUCCCUGUCUUCAAGGACGAUCCUGAGCAGAAAGUGGGUGCACUUGAGGUGGCAUGCUGUUGUGAGAGUCUGAGCUUUAUGAGAAGCCGACCCAGGGGGCAUGGUGUGGGGCAUCCCAAAGGACCUGCCAUACAUUAGGUGCCUUGGUCUUGGGGAGGAGCCCUCGGGAGUUCUGAGGGUGGGAGAAGAGGUAGGUGGGGUUAAUCCUUUCCCAUUCCCUCCCUGCCUCAGCACCAUGGCUCAGGCAGUAGCACUGCCAGCUCUUCCUGGGAUCAGAGUCAUGGCCCUGCUCCCCAUGUCCCUUCAGGCUGAGGAACAUAAGGGCUUCCCAUGGUUGCUUGUGUCUGAGUGCCUCAACCUCCCUUGCUGGUUCCUUUCCCCUGCCCACACCUUUGUCAAUAGUUCCCCCCACUGAAUUCUGUUUGGUUGAGCAGUUGGUGGGGAUGCUGACUGAUAAAGUGGUCUAGGCCACUGCUCACUGCUUAAAGCCUUGCUUCAGAGAGACCUUCCAGGGCCCUGCAGCUCCCCCUUCUCCAACCCCUCCAACCCCUCCAACCCUUCUCCCUCCCAGCUGGUCUGGGUUCCCUAAGGCAUCUACUUGCUUUUGAAUCUAUUUCUUACAGAUACAUGUGUGUCCUCUUUCACAGCCUUACCUUUUCAUACGGAGGAGGAAAAAACCCAUUUCUAUAAAGCUAUUAAAUGUUUUCCUUUCACAAACACCAGUUUUGUACAUCAGAAGCACUGCCUUUCAUGCCUAUUGAAUUCUCGGAAAUGGGCUUCGAGUGCCUAUUGCAGGAGUUGAAAUCUGAACAUCAGCUCUGUCUUCCUCUCUGCAUUCCUGCCACACAGUCCUAAUCCUCUCCAGUGUGAUGGAUCCCUCUGGCUGGGUAGAAGGGAGAUCAUUUAAAGGAAAUGUGAAAAAGAAAAGAAUAGUAUUCCAUUUCAAGAGAUUUUUCUCCUGACACAGUUAUUUUCAACAGGUGACAGGUAUUGAUACUGAUGAAAGAUUCUUGAGUGAAUACAAACCACUCCCCACUCCCAUCCCCAACAUACAUUCUCUAGAAAUUCCAGAAUGCCCAGUGAGUGGAUGCAUUCCACAUAUAUUUAGUGCCUAACUACAUGCCAAGGAGCUGGGUGCUAAGAACAAAAAAGUAUGAUUCCUGCCCUCUGCCAUAGAGUUUGUGAUCUGUGUUGAUGCAUUAAAGAUUAAUCCAAUGAUUACACAAAA